CAGAUGCAAGUGGAGGGAGGAAAUGGAGAGUGGUCAGUGGGUCAGGAGAUGACCUGUCAAAAGCCACCUGUGAACCAUCUGGAUCUCCCUCAUCUAUUGUCGAUGGAAGCUCGCAUCCUGCACUCAUUGAGCAACAGGCUGGCCCUGCUGACAUCACAGACAUCAGGACAGACCAGGAAGACACCCAUCAAAUUCUGGGCUGGAAGAUGCAGAAUACUCUGACUUUGCCCAAGACUGGGCCUUCCUCAGAAGCUCCUGAGAAGAAAAGAAUGCAGGGGCCUCAUGAAUGAGGCUCAGAAAUUCAGUUCAAAAAUCACCAAUGAGCCUCAAUCCAGGGAAGUGUAACUUAUUACCCCAAUUUUAUAAGGAAGAACACUGAGGCUCAGAGAGGUAAAGUAACCCAUCCAACAGUCAUAGAGGGGGAUCAUCUGGGUCCAAAGCACAGCAGCCGCAUGGGGAGCACCUUGUACUCUGUCUUGUGCUACCCGUUGGCAAUGCAGACAGCAGGGAGGAUGAGUGUGUCUGGAAGACGAUUAGCAUCAGCAUUUCACCUGAAGUCUCAGGGUUGAAAGGAAAAUGUUUUACAGGCAGCACUAGCUCUUCGGGGAAACCAGGGAGGGCAGUGACCAGGGAUGUGUCUCUGCUUCUGCAUGGCAUUAUCAUGCAAGCUGUGCAGUGUGCCCCAGCUCUUGAGAUCAGAGUCACUGCAGACCACCACCUGCAGCACCAAUCAUCUAUCCUCUGGAAGGAUGGAGAACAUACUCAGGUGCAGACCUCAGCCCUCUGCAUGCAGUAGAGGUGAAAUAAGUCAUUGUGGAAGGAAUGGGUGAAUGGAGGGAAUCUGCACUCAGAAUCCCACUGAUGGAAUUGGAGGAACGUGGACCCUGGAGUCUGAAUCAUUUGGUAUUACGUUCUGGCUCGAACUCAUACUCGCUGUAUGAUUUUAGGUAAAUUUCUCAACCUUCUGAAUCUCCAUUUUCUCAUUUGCAAACAGAGGUUGGAUAGGAAGACUCACUGUACAGGUUUAUGGAGCGUCAUUCAGAGAGACUAUGGGCAGACCCUGGCCUGGUGCCGGGGCCUGUGUUAAAAGUCGCUUUCUGUUUAUAGUCCUGGAGUUAGUCUUAUUAACUGGAUUCUACAGUUACUCUGUCCCUUGUUGUCUAUAGGCCUUUGAGAAAGUCACAUAUCCUGUUUUUGUUGUUGUUGUUGUUUGUUUUUGAGACAGGGUCUCACACCCUUGCCCAGGCUGGAGUGGAGUGGUGCGAUAUCCCAGCUCACUGCAGCCUUAAUCUUGACCUCCUGGACUUGAGCAAUCCUCCCAACCUCCACCUCCUGAGUAGCUGGGACUAUAGGUGCGUGCCACCAUGACCAGCUAAUUUUUCUAUUUUUUAAUAGAGAUGGGGUCUUGCUAUGUUGCCCUAGCUGGUCUCAAACUCCUGAGCUUAAGUGAUCCUCCCACCUUAGCCUCCUAGUGUUGGGAUUAUAGGAGUGAGCCACUGUGCCCAGCCUCAUAUGCCCUUUGAACCACAGUUUCCAUACCUGUGACUCAAGGAAUGAUAACAUCUGUCCUUCACGUGUGUCUCUUAUAAGGAUGGAUGAUGAUAAGCUGAUAAUGUUAAUGAGAACGACAACAGCAAAAGAUAGCUGUGCGGCUGUUGCCCAUGGAGCAGUGACUAUGGAGCCAGGUGCUUUCAAGAACAUGUGAA
Molecule: long non-coding RNA, 1706 nt
Organism: Macaca mulatta (Rhesus monkey)
Lineage: Eukaryota; Metazoa; Chordata; Mammalia; Primates; Cercopithecidae
Source: Ensembl